Molecule: small RNA, 119 nt
Filed under: Gallibacterium anatis
Lineage: Bacteria; Pseudomonadati; Pseudomonadota; Gammaproteobacteria; Pasteurellales; Pasteurellaceae
Description: Histidine operon leader
Rfam family: Histidine operon leader
About the family: At least 6 amino acid operons are known to be regulated by attenuation. In each a leader sequence of 150-200 bp is found upstream of the first gene in the operon.
Source: RNAcentral
CAUCACCAUCAUCAACCUGAUUAAUCUUUCAGGCGAUGGUGCGUGGAAGAUUAAUCAUCUUCCGAGCAUUCGAUAUGAAUCACAAUCCUCUCGGAAGAUAAUUUCGAGAGGAUUUUUUA